UAAACACCUUGACUGGUUUCUUCUUCAUUAUCUACAUUGUUGUCCCAAUUGCUUACUGGAAUAAUGCCUACGAUGCCAAGAAAUUCCCCAUCUUUUCCCAGAAGACUUUUGACAGUACAGGAGCACACUACGACGUCGACAGGAUUCUGAACAAGAAAACAUUUGAGAUUGAUUACCCUGCCUAUAAUGGCUACAGCAAACUCUAUCUCAGUGUCACCUUUGCCUUUGUUUAUGGCAUGACUUUUGCUGCUCUCAUGGCUACCAUUGUACAUGUUGCCUUGUUUGAUGGCAAGUAAGUUAUAGCCAAUGUUUUCUUUUCCUUCAUUCUAUAUACUAGAAAAUGAAAGGGAAAAUUGAUUUGUGAAAAUUGUACAGAACAAUAUGGAAGCUUUGGAAGAAGACUACAGGUGCAGUGAAGGAUCGGUACUCUGAUGUGCAUACAAGGCUGAUGAAGAAGAACUAUGAAGCAGUACCUGAAUGGUGGUUCUUGAUAAUCCUGGCUAUUUCUUUUGCUCUUGCUCUUCUUGCAGUUGAAGGUUUCGGCAAACAGCUUCAGCUUCCAUGGUGGGGGCUUAUCUUGGCUUGUCUUAUUGCCCUUACCUUCACAUUACCAAUUGGGAUCAUUCAAGCCACCACAAAUCAGGUGCGUAUAUAUAACAUAUAUCGUGAAUAUAAUAUAAUCUCCAGCUGGAAAUCUUAAAAUAUAUAACUUUGAGUUUUGGUUUGCAGCAAAUAGGGCUAAAUGUGAUCACAGAGUUGAUAAUCGGAUACAUGUACCCUGGGAAACCCUUGGCAAACGUGGCUUUCAAGACUUACGGAUACAUCAGCAUGGCACAAGCACUAGGAUUCCUGGGUGACUUCAAACUAGGCCAUUACAUGAAAAUCCCUCCUAAAGUAAUGUUUCUGGUCCAGACAGUGGGAACACUAGUGUCGUCGACAGUCUACUUUGCGACAUCCUGGUGGCUGCUGUCAACAGUGAAAAACAUAUGUGAUCCAGACGCACUCCCCCCUGGGAGUCCAUGGACUUGCCCAGGAGACAGUGUGUUCUACAGUGCCUCAAUCAUAUGGGGAGUAAUUGGACCUCUAAGAAUGUUCACCAAAAAGGGAAUCUACCCAGAGAUGAACUGGUUCUUCCUCAUAGGAGCACUGGCACCCGUUCCUGUUUGGUUGCUUGCUAGGAAAUACCCGCAGAAGAAAUGGAUAAAGAUGAUCCAUAUGCCCCUCAUAUUUGCGGCUACUAACAGUAUGCCGCCGGCUAGACCAGUUCACUUCUGGACAUGGGGAGCAGUGGGGAUUUUCUUCAACUACUACGUCUACAACAGGUACAAAGGAUGGUGGGCUAGACACACUUACAUUAUGUCGGCUGCUUUGGAUGCUGGGGUUGCCUUCCUUGCUGUUUUGCUCUUCUUUCUUCUGCAGAACAAGAACAUCAAUGGUCCUGCUUGGUGGGGAUUGGAACAAAGUGAUCAUUGUUUGUUAUCGAGUUGUCCUACUGCCCCUGGAGUUGUUGUCCAUGGUUGCCCUGUCGUUUCUUGAUUCUAUCUCUGCUCAUUUGUCUAGACAUAUUCUGUUGUGAGAGUGGUAGAAUGAUACAUACAUGUUAUAUUAAUAAGAGAGGAAUUAGGAAGUGUUUUAUCAUUGUAGAAAGAUUAUUUACGUUUGGCCUGAUUUCUGAAUUCUGAUUGCAAUCAAUGAGAAAUACAAGUUCAACCCCCUAGCAUUUCGAUGUUCAAUUAUUGAUUCUCUUCUCUGGGUCCGUCUUUCACUUGGACCAUCAAACAAGACACGAAAGUUCCAUCAUACCUGGUCGCUCUCUCAUUCUGGAUCUGACCAAGUGGCGAGGACUCUAAUUCUUGCUCUGCUUCCGACGGGAACUUGGGUUUAAACUUGGACGACGACUGUCGACUUACUAGUGUGAGGGACGAUGACCAGUAGUAGGCUUUGCCUCCUGCAAUUGAAGUGGGGCGAUGGAGACUAGAGUCCGAUUCUGGAGACAGGGAGUUUCCUCUCUGGGGUACUUGGGAAAUUUGUAGAUUCAGAUCCCUUACAGCUCCCAUCCACCACCACCGACGAAAGCAACAUAGACUUCUUCGUCAUCGUUCAACAUGUUUGAUGCGGAGGAGAAGCUCCUAAGGUAAUGGCGCCGGAAGAGAGAAGUUGAAGAUGAGAAGAAGCAUGAUUACAUUUUUAUCCCUCAAAUUCAUACCGUUAGAUAUAGGUUUAAUUUAUGGACGGUCAAGAUUAACCUUUGAUUGGAUCAACUGCUUACGAUCUGUCCAGACGUCCACCACACUGCACCGCCAAAGGCUCUUCAUAACAAAUUGAUCAGAGAUCGAUCAAACUCUGGAGAAAAA
Molecule: long non-coding RNA, 2354 nt
Filed under: Linum usitatissimum (flax)
Lineage: Eukaryota; Viridiplantae; Streptophyta; Magnoliopsida; Malpighiales; Linaceae
Description: long non-coding RNA (LUSI_LNC008167)
Source: RNAcentral